AGAGUUUGAUCCUGGCUCAGAUUGAACGCUGGCGGCAUGCCUUACACAUGCAAGUCGAACGGCAGCAUGAUCUAGCUUGCUAGAUUGAUGGCGAGUGGCGAACGGGUGAGUAAUACAUCGGAACGUGCCCUGUAGUGGGGGAUAACUAGUCGAAAGAUUAGCUAAUACCGCAUACGACCUGAGGGUGAAAGUGGGGGACCGCAAGGCCUCAUGCUAUAGGAGCGGCCGAUGUCUGAUUAGCUAGUUGGUGGGGUAAAGGCCCACCAAGGCGACGAUCAGUAGCUGGUCUGAGAGGACGAUCAGCCACACUGGGACUGAGACAUGGCCCAGACUCCUACGGGAGGCAGCAGUGGGGAAUUUUGGACAAUGGGGGCAACCCUGAUCCAGCAAUGCCGCGUGUGUGAAGAAGGCCUUCGGGUUGUAAAGCACUUUUGUCCGGAAAGAAAUCGCACUUACUAAUAUUAGGUGUGGAUGACGGUACCGGAAGAAUAAGGACCGGCUAACUACGUGCCAGCAGCCGCGGUAAUACGUAGGGUCCAAGCGUUAAUCGGAAUUACUGGGCGUAAAGCGUGCGCAGGCGGUUGUGCAAGACCGAUGUGAAAUCCCCGGGCUUAACCUGGGAAUUGCAUUGGUGACUGCACGGCUAGAGUGUGUCAGAGGGGGGUAGAAUUCCACGUGUAGCCGUGAAUUCCUUANAGAUGUGGAGGAAC
Molecule: ribosomal RNA, 710 nt
Filed under: uncultured bacterium
Lineage: Bacteria
Description: bacterial SSU rRNA
Rfam family: Bacterial small subunit ribosomal RNA
Source: RNAcentral